UGGGGAAUAUUGGACAAUGGGCGCAAGCCUGAUCCAGCAAUGCCGCGUGUGUGAAGAAGGCCUUCGGGUUGUAAAGCACUUUUAUCAGGAGCGAAACGCUGUCGGCUAAUACCCGGCGGAACUGACGGUACCUGAGGAAUAAGCACCGGCUAACUUCGUGCCAGCAGCCGCGGUAAUACGAAGGGUGCAAGCGUUAAUCGGAAUUACUGGGCGUAAAGCGUGCGUAGGCGGUUUCUUAAGUCUGCUGUGAAAUCCCCGGGCUCAACCUGGGAAUGGCAGUGGAUACUGGGAGGCUAGAGUGUGUCAGAGGGUGGUGGAAUUCCCGGUGUAGCGGUGAAAUGCGUAGAGAUCGGGAGGAACAUCAGUGGCGAAGGCGGCCACCUGGGACAACACUGACGC
Molecule: ribosomal RNA, 399 nt
Filed under: uncultured bacterium
Lineage: Bacteria
Description: partial 16S ribosomal RNA
Rfam family: Bacterial small subunit ribosomal RNA
Source: RNAcentral